AACGAACGCUGGCGGCAUGCCUAACACAUGCAAGUCGAACGAGACCUUCGGGUCUAGUGGCGCACGGGUGCGUAACGCGUGGGAACAUGCCCUUAGGUUCGGAAUAACUCCCCGAAAGGAGUGCUAAUACCGGAUAAUGUCUUCGGACCAAAGAUUGUCCGCCUUUGGAUGGGCCCGCGUUGGAUUAGCUAGUUGGUAGGGUAAAAGCCUACCAAGGCGACGAUCCAUAGCUGGUCUGAGCGGAUGAUCAGCCACACUGGGACUAAGACACGGCCCAGACUCCUACGGGAGGCAGCAGUAGGGAGUAUUGGACAAUGGGCAAAAGCCUGGUCCAGCAAUGCCGCGUGAGUGGUGAAGGCCGUAGGGUUGUAAAGCUCUUUUACCCGGGAUGAUAAUGACAGUACCGGGAGAAUAAGCUCCGGCUAACUCCGUG
This 433-nucleotide ribosomal RNA is filed under the name uncultured bacterium. Its description in RNAcentral is "partial 16S ribosomal RNA". It matches the Rfam family "Bacterial small subunit ribosomal RNA", at positions 29 to 507 of the family's 1533-position model. The record is from RNAcentral.